Molecule: ribosomal RNA, 369 nt
Filed under: bacterium enrichment culture clone ALO1_GLFRUDD03HIIOQ
Lineage: Bacteria
Description: bacterial SSU rRNA
Rfam family: Bacterial small subunit ribosomal RNA
Source: RNAcentral
GAGUUUGAUCCUGGCUCAGAUUGAACGCUGGCGGCAUGCCUUACACAUGCAAGUCGAACGGCAGCACGGGAGCUUGCUCCUGGUGGGCGAGUGGCGAACGGGUGAGUAAUGCAUCGGAACGUAUCCUGGAGUGGGGGAUAACGUAGCGAAAGUUACGCUAAUACCGCAUAUUCUGUGAGCAGGAAAGCGGGGGACCUUCGGGCCUCGCGCUCUUGGAGCGGCCGAUGUCGGAUUAGCUAGUUGGUGAGGUAAAGGCUCACCAAGGCGACGAUCCGUAGCAGGUCUGAGAGGAUGAUCUGCCACACUGGAACUGAGACACGGUCCAGACUCCUACGGGAGGCAGCAGUGGGAAUUUUGGACAAUGGGGGC